UACAGAGGGUGCAAGCGUUGUUCGGAAUUAUUGGGCGUAAAGGGAGUGUAGGCGGUUUGCUAAGUCUUCUGUGAAAUCUACGGGCUCAGCCUGUAACGUGCAGAGGAAACUGACAGACUUGAGUGUCGGAGAGGAUAGUGGAAUUCCCGGUGUAGAGGUGAAAUUCGUAGAGAUCCGGAGGGAGACCGGUGGCGAAGGCGGUCUGCUGGGCAGUUUCUGACACUGAUGCGCGACAGCGUGGGGAGCAAACAGG
Molecule: ribosomal RNA, 253 nt
Filed under: uncultured bacterium
Lineage: Bacteria
Description: partial 16S ribosomal RNA
Rfam family: Bacterial small subunit ribosomal RNA
Source: RNAcentral